Molecule: long non-coding RNA, 717 nt
Organism: Talpa occidentalis (Iberian mole)
Lineage: Eukaryota; Metazoa; Chordata; Mammalia; Eulipotyphla; Talpidae
Exons: 4
Source: RefSeq, a predicted model, not a curated record
AGGCUGCGGGCAGCCCCACAGCCCAGCGCUCAACCGCUGCGCCAACAGGGGAGGCCCUAGUUUGUUUUAUUAUUCUCCCAAGAUGAGAAAAGAUCCUGGACUCCAGUGACUUUGGUAUCUACUUCACAGAGGAAGACACAUUUGUGAGUUUCAUUGAGCAAAAACACACAAUUCAAGACCCAUCUGAAUGGUUUCCUUAGCUUCUGUUAAUCUCUUAAGCAAGACUAUCACCAAAGCAAAUGUUUCAUCAAAAGAUGGCACACUGAAUUAGGACCUGCGAUCCAGCAGUCAUUUUGCAUAAAGCCGGAUUCCAGUGUGACAGGCGCUACGGAUCACCACACUUCCGAUGGUAAAUAUUCUGCUAGAAGGACCUAAUCUUUUAAAUUUGGAGACCUGAAGAAAACAAACAACACUGAAAUAAGUGUCCAUGUGUAUUGUGCAAGAACUGAAAUCCAGGUAGCUCUGCUGUUAUUACAGAAUUUGAAGAAAUAAACAACAAAGAGAGAUGUGAUCACGAGCUCCAGAAAUAAUGGUUUCCACAAGAGAAACAACCGUGGAAGAAAAUUAUCCUCUUUGCUAACAAUACGGUGAUCAGCCUCACUUGCUUGCUCCUGAUGAUGAGGUGAUGUCACUGGUCAGAAGCGCUGGCCUAUUUUCUGUUCUGCCUAUGGUGGGUUGGAUUGGAUGAAAAUAAACAUCUUACAUAACAGGCCGGCU